AGAGUCUGUUCAUGGCUCAGGACGAACGCUGGCGGCGUGCCUAACACCUUUAAAUCAAGGGGAAAGUUUGGUUUCGGCCGAGCGAGUAUACUGGCGGACGGGUGAGUAACGCGUAGGUUUUCUGACCUUGUGCGAGGGAUAACCCACCGAAAGGCGGACUAAUACCUCAUAACGCAACGUAUUCGCAUGGAAAGGUUGUUAAAGUCUGCCGCAAGGCAGAUGCGUAAGGAUGGGCCUGCGUUCCAUUAGUUAGUUGGUGAGGUAAAGGCUCACCAAGGCGACGAUGGAUAGCUGGUUUGAGAGAGUGAUCAGCCACACUGGGACUGAGAUACGGACCAGACUCCUACAUUAGGCAGCAGUGAGGAAUAUUGCGCAAUGGUGGUAAGUGUGACGCAGCAACGCCGCGUGGGGGAUGAAUCUCUAUGGAGUGUAAACCCCUGUAAGUAGGGACGAAAGGAGUAUAGUCGAACAGGUUAUACAUUUGACGGUACCUGCCGAGUAAGCUCCGGCUAACUCCGUGCCAGCAGCCGCGGUAAUACGGGGGGAGCGAGCGUUGUCCGGAAUUACUGGGCGUAAAGGGCGUGUAGGCGGUCUAAUAAGUCAGAUGUUAAAUCCCUCGGCUCAACCGAUGACCGUCAUUUGGAACUGUUAGGCUUGAGUGCGAGAGAGGGUAGCGGAAUUCCCAGUGUACCGGGUGAAAUGCGUACAUUUUGGGAAGAACACCAAUAGCUAAUGCGGGUAACUGGCUCGCAACUGACGCUAAUGCGCGAAAGCCGUGGGGACCAAACAGGAUUAGAUACCCUGUUAGUCCACGCUGUAAACGAUGAGCACUAGGUGUUGGUCCCGUGUAACGGGGUCAGUGCCGCAGUUAACGCAUUAAGUGCUCCGCCUGGGGAGUACGAUCGCAAGGUUGAAACUCAAAGGAAUUGACGGGGGCCCGCACAAGCGGUGGAGCAUGUGGUUUAAUUCGAUGCAACGCGAAGAACCUUACCGGGGUUUGACAUGCCGAUGGAUUAUGCAGAGAUGUAUAAGCUCUUCGGAGCAUCGGCACAGGUGCUGCAUGGCUGUCGUCAGCUCGUGUCGUGAGAUGUUGGGUUAAGUCCCGCAACGAGCGCAACCCUUGCCCCUAGUUGCCAGCGGAUAACGCCGGGGACUCUAGGGGGACAGUCGGCGAUAAGCCGGAGGAAGGUGGGGAUGACGUCAAGUCCUCAUGGCCCUUACAUCCCGGGCUACACACGUGCUACAAUGGCCGGUACAGCGAGUAGCGAUACCGCGAGGUGGAGCCAAUCUCUGAAAACCGGUCUCAGUUCGGAUUGCAGUCUGCAACUCGACUGCAUGAAGUGGGAAUCGCUAGUAAUCGCGGAUCAGCACGCCGCGGUGAAUACGUUCACCGGGCCUUGUACACACCGCCCGUCACCCCAUGGGAGUUGGCAGUACCCGAAGCCGGUGGCCUAACCCCGAUUCGUCGGGGAAGGAGCCGUCGAAGGUAAGGCCGAUGACUGGGGCGAAGUAGUAACAAGGUAACC
Molecule: ribosomal RNA, 1526 nt
Filed under: uncultured Deferribacteres bacterium
Lineage: Bacteria; Pseudomonadati; Deferribacterota; Deferribacteres
Description: bacterial SSU rRNA
Rfam family: Bacterial small subunit ribosomal RNA
Source: RNAcentral